UUCAAUACUCUCCUCCUCUGAAAUAUUCAUGGUCUGCAUGUUUGUGUCCCCCCACUCCCAAAUUCAUAUAUUCAUUUAACCUCCAACAGGAUGAUGUUAAGAAGUGGAGUCUUUGGGAGUUAAUAGAUUUAGGUGAGGUCUAGGGGGUGGUGUGCUUACAAAUGAGUAAUGUACUUACAAAUAAGUACAUUAAUCCCAUCAUGGGGGAUUAAUGUACUUAUUUGUAAGAAGAGAAUAGGCCUAGAACUGGCUCUCUUGGCCACAUGUGGUUGCAACUAUGGCUCACUUGGCCACAUGUGGGUGCAACUAGAAGAUGACCAUUAGAAAACCUGGAAGCUGUCCUCACCAGACACCAGACUACCUGAUGUCUUGAUUUUGGACUUCACAGCCUCCACCGUGAGAAAUAAAUGUUUGUUGUGCAAGCUACCCAGUUUAUGAUAUUUUUUUGAUAGCAGGCUGAGCUGCCUAAGACAGUAUCCUUCCUUCCCCUAAUCACUGAACUGCAAGUACUCUCUCUUUUCCAAGAAUUGCCUGCACCUGCACUGUUCUGAUUCCAGUGUGUCUUUCCCCUCGUCUCAUUCCAGAUAAACAUGAGAAUCAUGUACAGGGUCUUCUGCUCCAAGCCCUCCUUUCAAUGAUGCACAGAACAAUGAAGAUCUGAGGGACAACCUGUAGGAGAACUGAAGCCAGAGUCUGUGAUGCACUCUCCAGACAGACUGGCGAGAACAGUUUAAAGUAGUAUAGUGUCUGAGCUGGGAUUUAGAGGAACUUGUGGUGAAAAGGGACACAGAUUGUCUCCAGAGACCAGGCCUGCUACAGCAAAUUUCUAGUUGGAAAACAAGAAAGAUCUUGGAGGAAAAGAAUAUACAGGCCCCAUGGACACUGGAAUUACUCAGAUACCAAAAUACCUGGUCACAGCAAAGAGGACUAAAAGGACUCUGAAAUGUGAGCAACAUCUAGGACAUGAUUCCAUGUAUUGGUACAGACAGAAAGCUGAGAAAUCCCUGGAGUUAAUGUUUUACUACAACUAUAAGGCACUCAUUGAAAUCCAGACUGUGCCAAAUCAUUUCACACCCAAAUGGCCUGACAGCUCUUGCUUCUGCCUUCACGUGGUCACGGUGCAGCUAGAAGACUCAGCUCUGUAUCUCUGCACCAGAAGUCAAGACACAACGUGACCGCCUCCCUGUGGACCAACCUCCUGGGUCUAGUCAGGAAGCUGUGGGGGCAACACAUCCAGCUGAGCCUCAAUACUUGAGUCAGCAUUCUGCAAGACCUCAGCAGAAAUCUCAGGCCAUCGUACUGUCAUUUAUUGGAUGUGGCAAUGCCACAUUGCCCAGACUCCAGCAGCCUGUGGCCUGACUUUGUCUUGAACAAGACUGUGCCUGAACUUGAAUGUAGGACAGGUGCUGCCAAGUUCAAGUUGUUCCAAGUAUCUUCCAGCUGGCUUGUGCCUCUGGGAAAUCUUGUGUGAAGCAUUUACCACUCUGGCCACACCAAUCUGC
Molecule: long non-coding RNA, 1502 nt
Organism: Callithrix jacchus (white-tufted-ear marmoset)
Lineage: Eukaryota; Metazoa; Chordata; Mammalia; Primates; Cebidae
Source: RefSeq, a predicted model, not a curated record